UGGGGAAUAUUGGACAAUGGGCGCAAGCCUGAUCCAGCGACGCCGCGUGAGCGAUGAAGCCCUUCGGGGUGUAAAGCUCUUUCGGCAGGGACGAUAAUGACGGUACCUGAAGAAGAAGCUGCGGCUAACUACGUGCCAGCAGCCGCGGUAAUACGUAGGCAGCGAGCGUUGUUCGGAAUUACUGGGCGUAAAGAGUGUGUAGGCGGUGCUCUAAGUUCGGUGUGAAAUCUCCUGGCUUAACUGGGAGGGUGCGCCGGAAACUGGAGUGCUUGAGCGUGGGAGAGGAAAGCGGAAUUCCUGGUGUAGCGGUGAAAUGCGUAGAUAUCAGGAGGAACACCUGUGGUGUAGACGGCUUUCUGGACCAUAGCUGACGCUGAGACACGAAAGCGUGGGUAGCAAAC
Molecule: ribosomal RNA, 401 nt
Filed under: uncultured bacterium
Lineage: Bacteria
Description: bacterial SSU rRNA
Rfam family: Bacterial small subunit ribosomal RNA
Source: RNAcentral